UUGCUCCCCUGAGAUCAGCGGCGGACGGGUGAGUAACACGUGGGCAACCUGCCUGUAAGACUGGGAUAACUCCGGGAAACCGGGGCUAAUACCGGAUAACAUUUUCCAUUGCAUAGUGGAAAAUUAAAAGAUGGCUCCGGCUAUCACUUACAGAUGGGCCCGCGGCGCAUUAGCUAGUUGGUGAGGUAAGGGCUCACCAAGGCGACGAUGCGUAGCCGACCUGAGAGGGUGAUCGGCCACACUGGGACUGAGACACGGCCCAGACUCCUACGGGAGGCAGCAGUAGGGAAUCUUCGGCAAUGGGCGAAAGCCUGACCGAGCAACGCCGCGUGAGCGAUGAAGGCCUUCGGGUCGUAAAGCUCUGUUGUUAGGGAAGAACAAGUACCGUUCGAAUAGGGCGGUACCUUGACGGUACCUAACCAGAAAGCCACGGCUAACUACGUGCCAGCAGCCGCGGUAAUACGUAGGUGGCAAGCGUUGUCCGGAAUUAUUGGGCGUAAAGCGCGCGCAGGCGGUCUCUUAAGUCUGAUGUGAAAGCCCACGGCUCAACCGUGGAGGGUCAUUGGAAACUGGGGGACUUGAGUACUGGAGAGGAGAGUGGAAUUCCAUGUGUAGCGGUGAAAUGCGUAGAUAUAUGGAGGAACACCAGUGGCGAAGGCGGCUCUCUGGCCAGUAACUGACGCUGAGGCGCGAAAGCGUGGGGAGCAAACAGGAUUAGAUACCCUGGUAGUCCACGCCGUAAACGAUGAGUGCUAGGUGUUUUGGGGGGUUCCACCCUCCAGUGCUGACGUUAACACAUUAAGCACUCCGCCUGGGGGAGUACGGCCGCAAGGCUGAAACUCAAAGGAAUUGACGGGGGCCCGCACAAGCAGUGGAGCAUGUGGUUUAAUUCGAAGCAACG
This 901-nucleotide ribosomal RNA is filed under the name Pseudalkalibacillus berkeleyi. Its description in RNAcentral is "bacterial SSU rRNA". It matches the Rfam family "Bacterial small subunit ribosomal RNA", at positions 73 to 961 of the family's 1533-position model. Lineage: Bacteria; Bacillati; Bacillota; Bacilli; Caryophanales; Fictibacillaceae. The record is from RNAcentral.